Xenia sp. Carnegie-2017 is the source of this 549-nucleotide long non-coding RNA. RefSeq lists it as uncharacterized. The record is from RefSeq and is a predicted model, not a curated record. The transcript has 3 exons. NCBI's taxonomy places the organism in Eukaryota, Metazoa, Cnidaria, Anthozoa, Malacalcyonacea, Xeniidae.
ACUCAUAGCUAUAAUUUUUAAGGCAGUUAUGAUGCAUAUUUUUUCCAAACCAAAACUGGCAAUGACCUUAAACGUUAUUUCACAAUCUUAAUUGAUGGUGCUUGAAAUACAUUAGGCCUUCAGACAUAAGAGUUAAUUUACUAUUUUAAUGCUUUAAUGCCGUCAUUCACUCUGAAACGCACGCAUACCAAGGAAAUAAUCGAUCCAUUGGAAAAUUACCGCUAACAAAAGAGCCUUUGUCAAUAUUAUGCAUCUAAAAGCACUCACGUCAAAGCCUCAGGCAAGCAAACAACAAAGUCAUCAGAGCAAAUAAGACGAACACUAUAGAGUCAUGGCUACAUCAUCAAAUACAAUUAGACCCGUUUUGAGCCAGUGUGAAGACUGCAAAAUGUGGGCAAUUUUUCCCCCUCUCUAAGGUGGAGGAAAGGCUAGUGGAAUGCUAGCCUUUCAAACGCCCUAUUUGCUUUUGUUUUGACGAAGAAGUCGACCGAUUUUUGGAAGAUUUUUUUCAGUAUGUAUUUUUAUAAUUCUUUAUCUUUUGAACAUUGA